This 2931-nucleotide ribosomal RNA is filed under the name Enterobacter cloacae complex sp. ECNIH7. RNAcentral's name for it is "bacterial LSU rRNA". It matches the Rfam family "Bacterial large subunit ribosomal RNA". The record is from RNAcentral. Lineage: Bacteria; Pseudomonadati; Pseudomonadota; Gammaproteobacteria; Enterobacterales; Enterobacteriaceae.
GGGUUGUGAGGUUAAGCGACUAAGCGUACACGGUGGAUGCCCUGGCAGUCAGAGGCGAUGAAGGACGUGCUAAUCUGCGAAAAGCGCCGGCGAGGUGAUAUGAACCUUUGACCCGGCGAUGUCCGAAUGGGGAAACCCAGUGCAAUUCGUUGCACUAUCGUUAACUGAAUACAUAGGUUAACGAGGCGAACCGGGGGAACUGAAACAUCUAAGUACCCCGAGGAAAAGAAAUCAACCGAGAUUCCCCCAGUAGCGGCGAGCGAACGGGGAGCAGCCCAGAGUCUGAAUCAGCUUGUGUGUUAGUGGAAGCGUCUGGAAAGUCGCACGGUACAGGGUGACAGUCCCGUACACGAAAGCACACAGGUUGUGAACUCGAAGAGUAGGGCGGGACACGUGGUAUCCUGUCUGAAUAUGGGGGGACCAUCCUCCAAGGCUAAAUACUCCUGACUGACCGAUAGUGAACCAGUACCGUGAGGGAAAGGCGAAAAGAACCCCGGCGAGGGGAGUGAAAAAGAACCUGAAACCGUGUACGUACAAGCAGUGGGAGCACCUUCGUGGUGUGACUGCGUACCUUUUGUAUAAUGGGUCAGCGACUUAUAUUCUGUAGCAAGGUUAACCGUAUAGGGGAGCCGAAGGGAAACCGAGUCUUAACUGGGCGUUAAGUUGCAGGGUAUAGACCCGAAACCCGGUGAUCUAGCCAUGGGCAGGUUGAAGGUUGGGUAACACUAACUGGAGGACCGAACCGACUAAUGUUGAAAAAUUAGCGGAUGACUUGUGGCUGGGGGUGAAAGGCCAAUCAAACCGGGAGAUAGCUGGUUCUCCCCGAAAGCUAUUUAGGUAGCGCCUCGUGAACUCAUCUUCGGGGGUAGAGCACUGUUUCGGCUAGGGGGCCAUCCCGGCUUACCAACCCGAUGCAAACUACGAAUACCGAAGAAUGUUAUCACGGGAGACACACGGCGGGUGCUAACGUCCGUCGUGAAGAGGGAAACAACCCAGACCGCCAGCUAAGGUCCCAAAGUCAUGGUUAAGUGGGAAACGAUGUGGGAAGGCACAGACAGCCAGGAUGUUGGCUUAGAAGCAGCCAUCAUUUAAAGAAAGCGUAAUAGCUCACUGGUCGAGUCGGCCUGCGCGGAAGAUGUAACGGGGCUAAACCAUGCACCGAAGCUGCGGCAGCGACGCGUAUGCGUUGUUGGGUAGGGGAGCGUUCUGUAAGCCGUUGAAGGUGUGCUGUGAGGCAUGCUGGAGGUAUCAGAAGUGCGAAUGCUGACAUAAGUAACGAUAAAGCGGGUGAAAAGCCCGCUCGCCGGAAGAUCAAGGGUUCCUGUCCAACGUUAAUCGGGGCAGGGUGAGUCGACCCCUAAGGCGAGGCCGAAAGGCGUAGUCGAUGGGAAACAGGUUAAUAUUCCUGUACUUGGUGUUACUGCGAAGGGGGGACGGAGAAGGCUAUGUUAGCCGGGCGACGGUUGUCCCGGUUUAAGCAUGUAGGCGGAGGUUCCAGGUAAAUCCGGUACCUUUUAACGCUGAGGUGUGAUGACGAGGCACUACGGUGCUGAAGUAACAAAUGCCCUGCUUCCAGGAAAAGCCUCUAAGCAUCAGGUAACACGAAAUCGUACCCCAAACCGACACAGGUGGUCAGGUAGAGAAUACCAAGGCGCUUGAGAGAACUCGGGUGAAGGAACUAGGCAAAAUGGUGCCGUAACUUCGGGAGAAGGCACGCUGAUAUGUAGGUGAAGCCCCUGCGGGUGGAGCUGAAAUCAGUCGAAGAUACCAGCUGGCUGCAACUGUUUAUUAAAAACACAGCACUGUGCAAACACGAAAGUGGACGUAUACGGUGUGACGCCUGCCCGGUGCCGGAAGGUUAAUUGAUGGGGUUAGCGGCAACGCGAAGCUCUUGAUCGAAGCCCCGGUAAACGGCGGCCGUAACUAUAACGGUCCUAAGGUAGCGAAAUUCCUUGUCGGGUAAGUUCCGACCUGCACGAAUGGCGUAAUGAUGGCCAGGCUGUCUCCACCCGAGACUCAGUGAAAUUGAACUCGCUGUGAAGAUGCAGUGUACCCGCGGCAAGACGGAAAGACCCCGUGAACCUUUACUAUAGCUUGACACUGAACACUGGUCCUUGAUGUGUAGGAUAGGUGGGAGGCUUUGAAGCGUGGACGCCAGUCUGCGUGGAGCCGUCCUUGAAAUACCACCCUUUAAUGGCUGGUGUUCUAACGUAGACCCGUAAUCCGGGUUGCGGACAGUGUCUGGUGGGUAGUUUGACUGGGGCGGUCUCCUCCCAAAGAGUAACGGAGGAGCACGAAGGUUAGCUAAUCCUGGUCGGACAUCAGGAGGUUAGUGCAAUGGCAUAAGCUAGCUUGACUGCGAGAGUGACGGCUCGAGCAGGUGCGAAAGCAGGUCAUAGUGAUCCGGUGGUUCUGAAUGGAAGGGCCAUCGCUCAACGGAUAAAAGGUACUCCGGGGAUAACAGGCUGAUACCGCCCAAGAGUUCAUAUCGACGGCGGUGUUUGGCACCUCGAUGUCGGCUCAUCACAUCCUGGGGCUGAAGUAGGUCCCAAGGGUAUGGCUGUUCGCCAUUUAAAGUGGUACGCGAGCUGGGUUUAGAACGUCGUGAGACAGUUCGGUCCCUAUCUGCCGUGGGCGCUGGAGAAUUGAGGGGGGCUGCUCCUAGUACGAGAGGACCGGAGUGGACGCAUCACUGGUGUUCGGGUUGUCAUGCCAAUGGCACUGCCCGGUAGCUAAAUGCGGAAAAGAUAAGUGCUGAAAGCAUCUAAGCACGAAACUUGCCCCGAGAUGAGUUCUCCCUGACCCUUUAAGGGUCCUGAAGGAACGUUGAAGACGACGACGUUGAUAGGUCGGGUGUGUAAGCGCAGCGAUGCGUUGAGCUAACCGAUACUAAUGAACCGUGAGGCUUAACCUUACAACGCCGAAGCUGUU